Talpa occidentalis (Iberian mole) is the source of this 1206-nucleotide long non-coding RNA. RefSeq lists it as uncharacterized. The transcript has 4 exons. Lineage: Eukaryota; Metazoa; Chordata; Mammalia; Eulipotyphla; Talpidae. The record is from RefSeq and is a predicted model, not a curated record.
CCAGGGCUCCGCGACUCCUUGUCUCCUCUUCCAGCAGCAAAGGGCCUGGAAAAGCUCACUUUUCAGUCCUGACGUCAAGAUACAUGGAGAGGACUUCUGAGGACCGAGAAAAAGGCUGAGCUACAAGACUGAGGGAGCUGGGAUGUCCAGUGACUGUGGAGGACGGAGCCACGCCCACACCUGACCGACAGUGGAUGCUGAGAGGCAGGGAUGCCAGAUUAUCACAGCUGUGUUGGAUCUAGUACCCAGCCUCUCUCCCUCAAUAGCCUGGCCGUCCAGCCCCAGCCUGCCGCCGGGCUAGGCUUUCCUGGCCAUCUGAUCGCGGAGAGGGCCCCGCACAAGGAAGAUACUGCUGCUUGCAACUUUGCAGAUACCAGCAGAGGAAGAAAAACAUGGGAGACUGCUGAUAACCUAAUGUGGAGAAUUAAACUCCAACUAGACAAAGGCGGAAUCUUAAUACAGAGUGGUCCAGCUCUGCAGGGAGGUCACCUGGACUGGCUGGAUUGCAAUCCAAUAACAGCAAAAGUUAGGACCCCAGUUUUUUUUUUGAUGUUGAACCUUCUAUGCUCAGGAAUUCCAAAGCAUUUGUUAAACUCUGCCAUGCUCCAUUGUUUACUGGCUUCCUAGUGCUUAUCGCAGUCUGUAAUUCCUUUAGUUCUAAGUUUAAUUGUCUGCCUCCCCACUUUGCCUAUCAGCCCCAGGAAGGUAGGGCUUUUACUCGGUGCACCUGUGUCUCCUGUGCAUCACACAAUGCCUGGCUCAUAGUGGGUGUUCGUUAAAUAAGUGCUGAAUUUGACAGUCUGGAAGCCCCAGAAUGCCCUCCUGGGCAGGUGGUUAGUAUAAUGGUAAACAUCGGUUCCUCUAAGAGCCAGACAAGUGACAGCAGGACUCAGAUUACCUGUUGGGCUGUGGAUCUAAACAGGAAGCUGUGCGGCAUGGGGGUAAGAAUAUUAGCAAGUGAGAAAGACAAGUGGGUCGACCUGGCUUUACCAUUUGACCUUGGAACUGGAGCUUGUGUUUCCUCACCUGAAAAAUGGGGAUGACACCUAUCCCAUGGAGGUAUUGAAAAGACGGAACAAAUGAAGCAUUUGACGUAGUGCCUGCACCAUACAGUGAUGCGGUAAACAUAGCUAAAUAAGAUAUAUCUUACUAUAUCUAAAUAAAUAUAUAACAUAAGCCAUAUAUAGUUAUAUAUAAUAAACAUGA